This 1142-nucleotide long non-coding RNA is filed under the name Vulpes vulpes (red fox). RNAcentral describes it as "lncRNA (ENSVVUG00000006863.1)". The record is from RNAcentral. Lineage: Eukaryota; Metazoa; Chordata; Mammalia; Carnivora; Canidae.
CAGCAGAAAUUAUGAUGUUCUCGGGAGAGAAAUGAUUGGUUUUCAGUUACACACUGCUACAGGUGGAAGUCAUCAGAAAACUGUAAUGCCAGCAUAUGGAUAACCUGCAAGGCAGCAUAACGGUAUCUUUUCAAGGAGCCAGAUUUGAAAGCUAAUGAUCUCAGUCUCAUAACCAGCCUCCCCAUCAGUCUCCACUGGGACGUAUGGCAAAGCAAACAGACCGACAAACCAAAAUAAUGAAGCUGCAUCUGCCACAAGAGGAAGAACCCGGAAGAUCAGUGUUAGAGGUUACUGAGAUCCUCCUAAGUCAUCUCCCAGUUUCCAAAGCAGUUUGCACACAUGACUUUAUCCUGCGUCACAUCAAGCCUGUGAUACAGAUGGAGCAGGGUCACCACCCUCAUUCUUGAUCACCUGAUCACCUUUUGCUCAGAGAGGAUGCAAAAUCCCAGACCCAGUGCUCAAGGAACAGGAUGGAUCUGUACAAUGUUUCUGACCACAGCAUGCACGUGGGAAGGGCCACACCACACUCCACAUGGUGUGGUAGGUAGACAGAGCAGGAGCCCUUGGAACUGCUGGUCCAAUUACCAGCUCGGGAGGUAAGUAGAGCUGCUUCCAGAAAAGGAGAAAUCCUUUAAAUCCUGUUCUACUCUCAACUCAUUCUACAAAUGUUUCUUGCAGGCCUCGUUUGGUCCUACCCUUAAGGGAAGUGGAGACCCCAUCCUUCUCUAAACAUGUACCGCUUCCCUCUGCUUACAUGGAGGAAAAAAAACAGAUCCUGUGCUAUCUUCGAGUAGGUGAUCAAAUUCUACUGAGACUACUUCUUAGAAAAGUGGUUUCUCUCUUUCCAAGGUAUAAUAUACAACAAGUUAUUUAUAUGUUCUACUCUUGUCUCUUGAGUAGCUAUUACAAACUGUGCUGCUAUGAAUACUUUUGUACAACAGUGUGCAAGUGUUUCUCCAAGAUGUAUAUUAAAAGGUAAUGUUUAGAAUCAUGAAAGUGUGUGAGUGUUUAAAGUUACUAAGAAAUCCUGAAAGUGAAUGAGGAGGGUUCUACUGUCGUCACAACCUCACAAUAAUUUUUGGUUUGGGAGCUUUGGUGAGUAGGUAAUGGUAUCUCAUGGUUUUAAUUUUCAUUCCCCUGAA